RNAcentral lists this long non-coding RNA (1389 nucleotides) under Brassica napus (rape). Its description in RNAcentral is "long non-coding RNA (BNAP_LNC021119)". Lineage: Eukaryota; Viridiplantae; Streptophyta; Magnoliopsida; Brassicales; Brassicaceae. The record is from RNAcentral.
UGCCCGUCACUGCAGUCAAGGAAAAACAUUUUCAAACUAGCCGUCGCGGAUGCAGCCACAGCGAUAAAGUUCGAUCCGUUGGAGACACCGAGAUCACUCAUUGUCUCAUUGGUCUCCCUUAUAACUUCCUUGAGAGGUAGCAAGUAGACAUUAACAUCAUGAGAGUACACAGAGUAACCACCAAUAAGGCCUAGAGACCCAUCAAGACCACUGGAGGGGGAGGAGGAAGGAGGCGGCGGCUCUUGGCCGUCGACGAAACGGUAGAGAAGCCUUGUGGGGAGAGGAAGUUUGACCUUGAGAGCAGACUCAAACUCUUCAAGAUCCUCCUCUGUGGCUCCUUUUCUCAGUGUUGCCUCUAGAUCCUUCAAUGGAUCCACUAGUUGUUGGAAAAUUUGAACAACUCUCAUACACAAACUCUUCUUCCUCGGCUUGUAAGAGAGGGUACUACAUAUUACAGACCAAACCGUAUUAGAAAAAAGCUCAGAUCCAACAUGUAUUAGCACGAGGGAUCAACCUGAUUCAUUACCUUUCCUAUCACAGCUUCUCCAUUGACUUUAUCUAUCACCUCAUCAUCAGCUCGGAUAAUCCAAUGCCUCCAAUACAAUUGACAAGAGCUAUGAUGUCUCCCGUUCAAGAAGCAUCCUUCUGGGACGAGAGACAUGCGGAUGGAGUAAGCAUACCAGUAAGCCGGUGGCUGAGCACGAAGAUUAGAUACUUCAGGGAUAAACACAGACGAGGCACGCACCUGCGUAAUCAACACACAAGGCUGUUUCAAUCUACUGAUUAUUAGUAACUAAAUAGACUAUUAUUGUUUACCUGCACACCGUUCGUUACAGCGACAGAACACAAGGGAGGAACCUCCGGGAACAAACUGAUACUCUUGAUGUUAUCCUCCUCACGGACUUUUAUAACACCGCUCUGUAACCUCCUGCCAUGUUCUUCCAACCAACGCAGCAUACCAUCCUGCUGCUGAUCACCGUUGAUCUCAGGCACACAUGGAAGCAUUUGGCGUGUACUUGUCCUAGUAUAAAGCUGCCCGUCACUGCAGUCAAGGAAAAACAUUUUCAAACUAGCCGUCGCGGAUGCAGCCACAGCGAUAAAGUUCGAUCCGUUGGAGACACCGAGAUCACUCAUUGUCUCAUUGGUCUCCCUUAUAACUUCCUUGAGAGGUAGCAAGUAGACAUUAACAUCAUGAGAGUACACAGAGUAACCACCAAUAAGGCCUAGAGACCCAUCAAGACCACUGGAGGGGGAGGAGGAAGGAGGCGGCGGCUCUUGGCCGUCGACGAAACGGUAGAGAAGCCUUGUGGGGAGAGGAAGUUUGACCUUGAGAGCAGACUCAAACUCUUCAAGAUCCUCCUCUGUGGCUCCUUUUCUCAGUGUUGCCUC